Molecule: transfer RNA, 61 nt
Filed under: Moniezia benedeni
Lineage: Eukaryota; Metazoa; Platyhelminthes; Cestoda; Cyclophyllidea; Anoplocephalidae
Description: tRNA-Ile
Source: RNAcentral
CCAAUAGGGCUGCUGAGCAGGUUACUUUGAUAUAGUAGAAUGUAAAUUUUAUUUCGUUGGU